RNAcentral lists this long non-coding RNA (439 nucleotides) under Olea europaea (common olive). RNAcentral describes it as "long non-coding RNA (OEUR_LNC012997)". Lineage: Eukaryota; Viridiplantae; Streptophyta; Magnoliopsida; Lamiales; Oleaceae. The record is from RNAcentral.
UCUGGUAUCAUUUUUCUAAAAGUUUUCUUAGCUGCGUGCCUUUUCAUCUUCUCCGUUCUAAUUUUGUAAUUUCUUUGAAAAUACUUAGUGUGAUUUUUGAGAGAAUUUGUAAAGAAACUCUUUUGUGAGUUUCUUCUGUGGGAAUAUCGUGUUGUAUUUGAGACAUGGGAACUCAGUGUUCUGUAACUUGAUUUUUGCCUAUUUUGGCCGAUUUAGUGGUUUCGAGCUUAAUGCUUUAUGGGCGCUCAAUGGGGGACCAAGCAUUAGAAGCAGUCAUUGAACCUCUAGGGCCUUUGGUCGAAAAAUAUCUCAUGUUCUUUAUUUUCUGUUUUGAGUUUAAGAAAAAUCUUGAUUUUGUACGUUGAGUAUUUUUGGUUUAAACUCGAUUCUGGACCUACGCAUGUUUUCUAAGAAGGUAUGAAUAAUUUUUCCAUUAAAC